UGCAAGUCGAACGGCAGCACGGGUGCUUGCACCUGGUGGCGAGUGGCGAACGGGUGAGUAAUACAUCGGAACGUACCUUAUCGUGGGGGAUAACGCAGCGAAAGCUGUGCUAAUACCGCAUACGCCCUGAGGGGGAAAGCGGGGGAUCGAAAGACCUCGCGCGAUUAGAGCGGCCGAUGCCUGAUUAGCUUGUUGGUGGGGUAAAAGCCCACCAAGGCGACGAUCAGUAGCUGGUCUGAGAGGACGAUCAGCCACACUGGGACUGAGACACGGCCCAGACUCCUACGGGAGGCAGCAGUGGGGAAUUUUGGACAAUGGGGGCAACCCUGAUCCAGCAAUGCCGCGUGAGUGAAGAAGGCCUUCGGGUUGUAAAGCUCUUUUGUCAGGGAAGAAACACCGGCUCUAACACAGUCCGGGAAUGACGGUACCUGAAGAAUAAGCACCGGCUAACUACGUGCCAGCAGCCGCGGUAAUACGUAGGGUGCGAGCGUUAAUCGGAAUUACUGGGCGUAAAGCGUGCGCAGGCGGUUAUACAAGACAGGCGUGAAAUCCCCGGGCUUAACCUGGGAAUGGCGCCUGUGACUGUAUAGCUAGAGUGUGUCAGAGGGGGGUAGAAUUCCACGUGUAGCAGUGAAAUGCGUAGAUAUGUGGAGGAAUACCAAUGGCGAAGGCAGCCCCCUAGGAUAACACUGACGCUCAU
RNAcentral lists this ribosomal RNA (700 nucleotides) under uncultured bacterium. Its description in RNAcentral is "bacterial SSU rRNA". It matches the Rfam family "Bacterial small subunit ribosomal RNA", at positions 56 to 750 of the family's 1533-position model. The record is from RNAcentral.